The sequence is a ribosomal RNA, 521 nucleotides long. It matches the Rfam family "Bacterial large subunit ribosomal RNA", at positions 1834 to 2618 of the family's 2925-position model.
UUCUUCCUAAUUUAGGAAGUAAGGCCUGCUCACUGAAGUUUAAAGAGCCGCAGUAUUUUAACUGUGCUAAGGUAGCAUAAUCAUUAGUCUUUUAAUUGGAGACUGGUAUGAAGGGUUUAACGAGAAAUUAACUUUUUUUAUAGAUAAAUUUGAAUUUAAUUUUUAAGUUAAAAAGCUUAAAUUUUUUAGAAAGACGAGAAGACCCUAUAGAGUUUGAUACAAGAUUAUAUUUUAUUUAAUUAGAUUUUAAGAAUUAAAUAGUGAAAUUGUUUUUUGUUGGGGCGACAUUUAGAUAUCUAAAACUCUUAAUUUUUAAAACUGGGAUACCAGAAUUUUUGAUCCUUUAGAAAAGAUUAAAAGAAAAUUACCUUAGGGAUAACAGCGUAAUCUUUUUUGAGAGUUCUAAUCGACAAAAAGGUUUGCGACCUCGAUGUUGGACUAAAAUUUGCUUAAGGCGCAGGAGUUUUAAGGCAAGGUCUGUUCGACCUUUAAAUUUUUACGUGAUCUGAGGUUUCAGACCG